RNAcentral lists this ribosomal RNA (1474 nucleotides) under uncultured bacterium. Its description in RNAcentral is "bacterial SSU rRNA". It matches the Rfam family "Bacterial small subunit ribosomal RNA". The record is from RNAcentral.
AGCGAACGUUAGCGGCGCGCUUAACACAUGCAAGUCGCACGAGAAAGGGCUUCGGCCCCGGUACAGUGGCGCACGGGUGAGUAACACGUGGGUGAUGUGCCGUUCUGUGGGGAAUAACCUUCCGAAAGGAGGGCUAAUACCGCAUCCGACCGCUCAAUGGGAAUUGAGUGGUGAAAGCAGGCCUCUGUAUACACGCUUGCGCAGAACGAACAGCCCGCGUCCCAUCAGCUAGUUGGCGAGGUAAAGGCUCACCAAGGCGAAGACGGGUAGCUGGUCUGAGAGGAUGGCCAGCCACACUGGAACUGAGACACGGUCCAGACUCCUACGGGAGGCAGCAGUGGGGAAUCUUGCGCAAUGGGCGAAAGCCUGACGCAGCGACGCCGCGUGGACGACGAAGGCCCUCGGGUUGUAAAGUCCUGUGGGGCGAGACGAAAGACGGCCAUUCGAAUAGGGUGGUUGGUUGACGGUAUCGCCUUAGCAAGCACCGGCUAACUCUGUGCCAGCAGCCGCGGUAAGACAGAGGGUGCAAACGUUGCUCGGAAUUACUGGGCGUAAAGCGCGUGUAGGCGGUUUCCUAAGUCAGGUGUGAAAGCCCGGGGCUCAACCUCGGAAGUGCACAUGAUACUGGGAAGCUUGAGUACUGAAGAGGAGAGCGGAAUUCUCGGUGUAGAGGUGAAAUUCGUAGAUAUCGGGAGGAACACCAGUGGCGAAGGCGGCUCUCUGGGCAGAUACUGACGCUGAGACGCGAAAGCAUGGGGAGCAAACAGGAUUAGAUACCCUGGUAGUCCAUGCUGUAAACGAUGAGUGCUGGGUGUCGUGGGUAUUGACCCCCGCGGUGCCGAAGUCAACACGUUAAGCACUCCGCCUGGGAAGUACGGCCGCAAGGCUAAAACUCAAAGGAAUUGACGGGGGCCCGCACAAGCGGUGGAGCAUGUGGUUUAAUUCGACGCAACGCGCAGAACCUUACCCGGGCUCGAAAGUGCUGGAAUCCUGCCGAAAGGUGGGAGUGCUCGCAAGAGAACCAGUAUCCAGGUGCUGCAUGGCUGUCGUCAGCUCGUGUCGUGAGAUGUUGGGUUAAGUCCCGCAACGAGCGCAACCCCUGCUACUAGUUGCUACAUUAAGUUGAGCACUCUAGUGGGACUGCCGGUGUUAAGCCGGAGGAAGGUGGGGAUGACGUCAAGUCCUCAUGGCCCUUAUGUCCGGGGCUACACACGUGCUACAAUGGUCGGUACAGAUCGUCGCGAACUCGUGAGAGGGAGCAAAUCGCAAAAAACCGGCCUCAGUACAGAUAGGAGUCUGCAACUCGACUCCUUGAAGUUGGAAUCGCUAGUAAUCGCUGAUCAGCAAGCAGCGGUGAAUACGUUCCCGGGCCUUGUACACACCGCCCGUCACACCAUGGGAGCGGAUUGCUCCAGAAGUCGCUGAGCCAACCGCAAGGAGGCAGGCGCCCAAGGAGUGGUUCGUGACUGGGGUG